Molecule: ribosomal RNA, 492 nt
Filed under: uncultured bacterium
Lineage: Bacteria
Description: partial 16S ribosomal RNA
Rfam family: Bacterial small subunit ribosomal RNA
Source: RNAcentral
AGUGAACGCUGGCGGUAGGCCUAACACAUGCAAGUCGAACGGCAGCACAGUAAGAGCUUGCUCUUACGGGUGGCGAGUGGCGGACGGGUGAGGAAUACAUCGGAAUCUACUUUUUCGUGGGGGAUAACGUAGGGAAACUUACGCUAAUACCGCAUACGACCUACGGGUGAAAGCAGGGGAUCUUCGGACCUUGCGCGAUUGAAUGAGCCGAUGUCGGAUUAGCUAGUUGGCGGGGUAAAGGCCCACCAAGGCGACGAUCCGUAGCUGGUCUGAGAGGAUGAUAAGCCACACUGGAACUGAGACACGGUCCAGACUCCUACGGGAGGCAGCAGUGGGGAAUAUUGGACAAUGGGCGCAAGCCUGAUACAGACAGACCGCGUGAGUGAAGAAGGCCUUCGGGUUGUAAAACCCUUUUGUUGGGAAAGAAAAGCAGCAGGUUAAAACCCCGCUGUUCUGACGGUACCCAAAGAAUAAGCACCGGCUAACUUCGUG